Molecule: long non-coding RNA, 354 nt
Organism: Crotalus tigris (Tiger rattlesnake)
Lineage: Eukaryota; Metazoa; Chordata; Lepidosauria; Squamata; Viperidae
Exons: 3
Source: RefSeq, a predicted model, not a curated record
CCGAGAGCAUGCUGGGAAGCAUUAUUAAAGGAAGCCGUCUUCCGUUGCUUUGUCUUUUCGGUGUUGCGCUUUGCAAGAUGAUGGAAUUAAUCUGUUAAACUGAAGGUUGUGACCGAGACUAGAGUCACAUCUGGAUGUCAUCAAUCAUCAUGGUGUGCUAUAGUCCUCGAAGAAUAAUAACUGACCUUUAUUCACUGACUGUCUGAUUCAUUAGCAGAGUCAGUUGCCAGGGAUACUAUAGAAUCGGAGAAAAGAAGGCGCUUUAGUAAUUGAUUACAGAAUUCAUCUGCAACUGAAAAAGUGAUGAAGUAAUGUGAAAUCUUUAUAUUUCAAUAAAAAUCUAUAAAAAUCAAA